AUUGAACGCUGGCGGCAUGCCUUACACAUGCAAGUCGAACGGCAGCACGGGAGCAAUCCUGGUGGCGAGUGGCGAACGGGUGAGUAAUAUAUCGGAACGUGCCCAGUCGUGGGGAUAACGUAGCGAAAGCUACGCUAAUACCGCAUACGAUCUAUGGAUGAAAGCGGGGGAUCGCAAGACCUCGCGCGAUUGGAGCGGCCGAUAUCAGAUUAGGUAGUUGGUGAGGUAAAGGCUCACCAAGCCGACGAUCUGUAGCUGGUCUGAGAGGACGACCAGCCACACUGGGACUGAGACACGGCCCAGACUCCUACGGGAGGCAGCAGUGGGAAUUUUGGACAAUGGGCGCAAGCCUGAUCCAGCAAUGCCGCGUGCGGGAUGAAGGCCUUGGU
This 389-nucleotide ribosomal RNA is filed under the name uncultured bacterium. RNAcentral describes it as "bacterial SSU rRNA". It matches the Rfam family "Bacterial small subunit ribosomal RNA", at positions 30 to 423 of the family's 1533-position model. The record is from RNAcentral.